GAUGAACGCUGGCGAGAUGCUUUACACAUGCAAGUCGUACGAAAGUUUUUAACUUAAGUGGCGGACGGGUGAGUAACACGUAAGAAUUUACCUUUAGGAGGGGGAUAACAACUGGAAACGGUUGCUAAUACCCCAUAUGCUUUCGAGUGAAAUGGAUUUUUCCGCCUAGAGAGAAGCUUGCGGCUGAUUAGCUUGUUGGUGAGGUAAUGGCUCACCAAGGCGACGAUCAGUAUCUGGUUUGAGAGGACGAUCAGACACACUGGAACUGAGACACGGUCCAGACUCCUACGGGAGGCAGCAGUGGGGAAUUUUUCCGCAAUGGGCGAAAGCCUGACGGAGCAAUCUCGCGUGAGGGAUGACGGCCUAUGGGUUGUAAACCUCUUUGUCAAGGAAGAA
This 396-nucleotide ribosomal RNA is filed under the name uncultured bacterium. RNAcentral's name for it is "bacterial SSU rRNA". It matches the Rfam family "Bacterial small subunit ribosomal RNA", at positions 28 to 448 of the family's 1533-position model. The record is from RNAcentral.